UAAGCAGAACUGGCGAUGCGGGA
Molecule: small nuclear RNA, 23 nt
Filed under: Arabidopsis thaliana (thale cress)
Lineage: Eukaryota; Viridiplantae; Streptophyta; Magnoliopsida; Brassicales; Brassicaceae
Description: snRNA_09606
Source: RNAcentral